ACAACCGAGGUGCAAAGGCUGUCGCUGACCCUCAAAGGUUGUGCACGCCCGAGCGCUCUCACACAAUCCAUCUCACCUUUGUGCAUCACCGCGUGGGUCCCCUUUGCGGGAGGGCUCGCGUUUUCACAUAAUAACUCGAUACAGUGUAGAAUGUUUCUUUUGCGGUCACACGCAAUCAAUACAACUUUCAACAACGGAUCUCUUGGCUCUCGCAUCGAUGAAGAACGCAGCGAAAUGCGAUACGUAAUGUGAAUUGCAGAAUUCAGUGAAUCAUCGAAUCUUUGAACGCACCUUGCGCCCCUUGGCACUCCGAGGGGCACACCCGUUUGAGUGUCGUGAAUUCUUCAAAACCCUUUUUUCUUCGAACCAUCGUGGUCGGGAAAAGGAUUUUUGGACUUGGAGGUUUAAUGCUCGCCCUUUCUUUUGAAAGCGAGCUCCUCUCAAAUGAAUUAGUGNGGUCCGCUUUGCUGAUCCUUGACGUGAUAAAAUGUUUCUACGUUUUGGGUUUAGCACUGUCGCUUGNAUGCCUGCUCCUAACCCGUCUCAUUGACAAUGAUGGUGCUCUGGUCACUGCCGUCUACAUCGGCGGGAGGCUGGACCCACAAAAAGAAAAACCUUGA
This 620-nucleotide ribosomal RNA is filed under the name uncultured Russula. RNAcentral's name for it is "eukaryotic LSU rRNA". The stretch from base 183 to 336 matches the Rfam family "5.8S ribosomal RNA". Lineage: Eukaryota; Fungi; Basidiomycota; Agaricomycetes; Russulales; Russulaceae. The record is from RNAcentral.